UCUUUUGAUUUAAUUUAAGAUCAGGCCUGCCCAUUGAUUUAAUAAUUAAAAGGCUGCGGUAUUUUAACUGUACGAAGGUAGCAUAAUCAUUUGUCUUUUAAUUGAAGGCUAGAAUGAAUGGUUUGAUGAAAAAUAAUCUUUCUUUUUAUGAAUCAAUUGAAUUUAAUUUUUUAGUUAAAAAGCUAAAAUUUUUUUAUAGGACGAGAAGACCCUAUAGAAGUUAACUUAGUUUAAAAUUUUUUAUUUUUUGUUUUUAAAAUAAAUUUUUUGAUUAUUAAGUUUUGUUGGGGUGACAUUAAAAUUUAUUUAACUUUUAUUUUAUUAUUUCAUUAAUUUAUGUAUAUUUUGAUCUUUAAUUUUUGAUUAAAAGUUUAACUUACCUUAGGGAUAACAGCGUAAUUUUUUCGGAGAGAUCCUAUC
This 420-nucleotide ribosomal RNA is filed under the name Tenagogonus bergrothi. RNAcentral's name for it is "partial 16S large subunit ribosomal RNA". The record is from RNAcentral. Lineage: Eukaryota; Metazoa; Arthropoda; Insecta; Hemiptera; Gerridae.